AUUGCGCUUGGCCUUUUCCCUUUUGCUGGGACCUGCUUCACCAUUAUCAGCGAAUCAGGAGUCCGGACUGGCAACUGCACAUCGCGAAUGAUAUACACGGAGACCUCUCCCUUCUUCCGCCCUGGGAAGAACUGGUAGAGUGGCUGCAGGAAGAUGCUAUCCUGAAGAUACUCUAUUCACCUAUCCGCAACGGGAAAGGUACGUGAUUCCCAGCGUUCUGCCCUUUUUGUUUUUUUUUAACGUUUUCUUUGCUGCCGAUUAUCGCCUUUUGUUUACUCUGUUUCUUUCCGUGCGCUUUUUCGGCCCCCAAAACACGGA
Molecule: small RNA, 318 nt
Filed under: Histoplasma capsulatum var. duboisii H88
Lineage: Eukaryota; Fungi; Ascomycota; Eurotiomycetes; Onygenales; Ajellomycetaceae
Description: Histoplasma capsulatum H88 hypothetical RNA
Source: RNAcentral